GUGGGGAAUCUUAGACAAUGGGGGAAACCCUGAUCUAGCCAUGCCGCGUGAGCGAUGAAGGCCUUAGGGUUGUAAAGCUCUUUCAGCUGGGAAGAUAAUGACGGUACCAGCAGAAGAAGCCCCGGCUAACUCCGUGCCAGCAGCCGCGGUAAUACGGAGGGGGCUAGCGUUGUUCGGAAUUACUGGGCGUAAAGCGCGCGUAGGCGGACCAGAAAGUUGGAGGUGAAAUCCCAGGGCUCAACCUUGGAACUGCCUUCAAAACUCCUGGUCUGGAGUUCGAGAGAGGUGAGUGGAAUUCCGAGUGUAUAGGUGAAAUUCGUAGAUAUUCGGAGGAACACCAGUGGCGAAGGCGGCUCACUGGCUCGAUACUGACGCUGAGGUGCGAAAGCGUGGGGAGCAAACAGGAUUAGAUACCCCAGUAGUCC
RNAcentral lists this ribosomal RNA (425 nucleotides) under uncultured bacterium. Its description in RNAcentral is "partial 16S ribosomal RNA". It matches the Rfam family "Bacterial small subunit ribosomal RNA", at positions 354 to 796 of the family's 1533-position model. The record is from RNAcentral.